AUCUGUCAGGUCAGUUCUGCUCCACUCUAAACUGAUGAUGUUGUUGUUUGGAGCUCGACAUGUCAGAGUGACGUCCUGUCCAGACUCAGCUGUGAUGUUUUUCUGGUCUGAAAGAGGAAACAACACAGAGCAGAGAGCUGCUCCCUUCAGGCGUCACCACAGCGAGUCUUCUCCUCCUCCUCACCUGAUCCCGAGCAUCUUCAUCAGGGCUGAUUUGUGACAGAAGGACAGCAGCAAGAGUGAAAGGGAAGGUUUAAAGAUGGCAGUGAGCUGCUGUGAUGUUUGCUUUGGAGACUCUGACACAAAGACAGGAGGCCGAGCUGAACAUGUUCAGAUUUUCAUUGAGAGCAGAAAGGACGAGAUUAUGAACGAGUUGAUCAGAGGGAAGCUCAGGCUGAGAGGUUUGGAGACAAAGUUCAUGAGAAA
Oreochromis niloticus (Nile tilapia) is the source of this 426-nucleotide long non-coding RNA. RefSeq lists it as uncharacterized. The record is from RefSeq and is a predicted model, not a curated record. Lineage: Eukaryota; Metazoa; Chordata; Actinopteri; Cichliformes; Cichlidae. The transcript has 2 exons.